Molecule: ribosomal RNA, 484 nt
Filed under: uncultured bacterium
Lineage: Bacteria
Description: partial 16S ribosomal RNA
Rfam family: Bacterial small subunit ribosomal RNA
Source: RNAcentral
AUUGAACGCUGGCGGCAGGCCUAACACAUGCAAGUCGAGCGGAUGAAGGGAGCUUGCUCCUGGAUUCAGCGGCGGACGGGUGAGUAAUGCCUAGGAAUCUGCCUGGUAGUGGGGGAUAACGUCCGGAAACGGGCGCUAAUACCGCAUACGUCCUGAGGGAGAAAGGGGGGGAUCUUCGGACCUCCCGCUAUCAGGUGAGCCUAGGUCGGAUUAGCUAGUUGGUGGGGUAAAGGCCUACCAAGGCGACGAUCCGUAACUGGUGUGAGAGGAUGAUCAGUCACACUGGAACUGAGACGCGGUCCAGACUCCUACGGGAGGCAGCAGUGGGGAAUAUUGGACAAUGGGCGAAAGCCUGAUCCAGCCAUGCCGCGUGUGUGAAGAAGGUCUUCGGAUUGUAAAGCACUUUAAGUGGGGAGGAAGGGCAGUAAGUUAAUACCUUGCUGUUUUGACGGUACCAACAGAAUAAGCACCGGCUAACUUCGUG